Coturnix japonica (Japanese quail) is the source of this 6764-nucleotide non-coding RNA. The record is from RefSeq and is a predicted model, not a curated record. NCBI's taxonomy places the organism in Eukaryota, Metazoa, Chordata, Aves, Galliformes, Phasianidae.
AGCAAAUAAUGGACACCAGUGAGAGUUAGUGUAAAAUGUGCAGAUAUUUACCUUUCUGUGUGUGCUGUGGCCUGUCUGUGGCUGCUGACGUGUAACUGCUUGGUGCACUGUCCCACCGGGAGGGGUGCCUCAGCAGCUCACGCAGACCCUUUGAAGUCUUACUGAUGGUUGUGCUGCUUUACAUAUUUGUUACAAGACCAGGAACAUUGGAGGUAGAGGGAAUUUCUUUUUCUUCAUGUGAAUGAGUGUAAUUAGUCUGCAGAGCUGCUAGGAUUCCUUGUGAAUCAGUGAGAUAAUUGCUUUAUAAGAGGAAAAUAAUUACAUAAGAGUUUGAAAGGGCACAGAUUUAAUUCCUAUUUGAGGAAGGGUUGCCAAACUCACUAUACGAGGAGAUUGCUACUGAGACCUUGCUUAUGAGAUGCAUUUAUCUUGCUGGAAAACCCCCCUCCAUGUUUUUUAUAUCAUGCUCUCCUGAGGAAACUAUUUCCCUCAGAAUAGGUAACCGUUUGUAGUUGCUAUAGCUUUUUAAUUUCGAUUCUUAAGAGUUGCCUAUGCAAGCAUGCUAUCAGAUUCUAUUGGCUUCAAAUCUCUGGGCUCACUUAAAUUUGGUCAACAUUAAAUUCGUAAAAGAAAUUUCAGCCUCCACCCAAGGGAAAGGGAACUGUGCAACUCGUCAUUUGGCUGUAACUGGUCCCCAGCUGGCUGAUCUGCAGUGUGACAAGCAGGACAGUUAGAAUAGCAGGGGAGGUAGGGAGCCUAGGGUGUAUGUACAGAACAGAACGUUGCUGAAGAACACAGGUGUGAUGUAAAAGAUAAGGUUCUGAAAAGUAUGUGUGGAAAGAGAAUCUAGGAUGAAAAUCCAAAGUAAACAAGGUCACACUGGUAGCAAAGAAUGAAGAAAUAUUCAUCAGAUGAAUCCAGGAAAGUAUUUAUGCUCCAGAAAUUGUUCAAUUGAAGACUUAUUGAAAAUCAGCUAAAUAGCCACCUACUUUAGUAUCAUAACCAUGCACACAGUAAUCAAAGGAGGCAAUAUGUUUUUAAAGAGCUGUUUUUUUGCUUUUUUUUUUGCUAUGCCUACAACAGAGACUCGAAGGUCAACAAGCUGUUCAGCAAAUAUCUGAGAAGAAAUCCCAGAGAACUGGCAUUCCUGAACUGGAAUAGAGAGACAUGAAGUCCAGCACAUCUUCUCAUUUCCUCUAUUGAGGUCCCAAAGGUAUGGCAGAAAGUGCUACAAGAACUGGUGUGGUCCUUUUAAAUAACACAUUAAAUUUCAGGCAGCAGAGAAUAAAAAUAGCUUAACACUGAAACCCUAAGAGAAGAGAAACCUUGGCUUCCAGGAAUAGAGUUCACUCUUCCAGUAAGUUCCCAUGAGCUCACAGGUUCCUCAACACAAUGACCUAUACAGCAAAAUAAGUUUGAGGUAAAGUCUCACACAAACAAAUUAACAGUUCAGUUCAAUGAACAGUCACAGUGAUCUAUUCCUUCCUCAUAUUUAAACAGAGCACUGAAAAAACCACGUUAGUUUCUAGUGAAUGACUAACAAAGUGCACGGGAUUUGCCAAUUUUCACACAUUUACAUAAGAGCAGAAAUCCUUCAGAUCUUCUUGUGCAGAAAGCAGAAGACCUUUCCAGGUAAGACAGCAAGUUAAGUGCUUAGCAUUAAACUAAAUGUUAGAAAUUGUUUACAGUAAAUAAGUGUAUAUAAAAUUAAAUGUAAAACCAACAAAACUGAGUUUUGGAAAGUCUUACCAUGGAUACUGGGACUGACAAAUCUGAUUGAGGUCUCCUAUUUUUGAGUGGAGGAAAGCACAUGUUAAAAUUAUUUUACGUACAUAUAUAUUUCAUAGUGGUUACAGAAAGACAGGCUUAUAAACACCGAAGCUUUCUAAGUAGCAGGUAACAAAAAUACUGAGUUCCUAAGAGCAGGAAACAUAACGAAACUACAGAAGACUUUUUUCACUUACUGCAAAUCUCAUAGAGCUGCAAACAGCCUUUUUUUUUUUUUCAUAUGGAUCAAGAGAAAGAGCAAAUUUAUUUUUUUUUUCCAUUUCCAAAUGAUCUUUCAUUAUGGAGAUAAAUAGUUCAGUAAUGAUCAGACGAAACCUUAAAAAUCUGCAAUUCAUGCCUCAUUCUCUAGAAGGCCUUCUUACAUCUCUCUCUCAUAUUUCUCCUCCUAAUGUUAUCUUGUUCUCCAAUUGCACAUGAGCAAUAGUAGUUCUUCAGUCUAAACUAUCUGAUGCUAUAUGCAGCUGUAUUUCUUAUAUGCAGAACAAAUAUUCUUGUCCCCUUACUAAAUCAAGUGGAAAGGAUUAGUGAAACAACAGAGAGCCAACCAAGUAUGGUUUCAAAGUGAAGGCAAAGAAAAAACAAACCCCAGACUCUAAAACCCUUGUAGGCAGCGUGUGUUCCAGUGUACCUGAGGGGAAUUGAAUACUCUGAUGUCUGCAUUGUUAGAUGGUGAAGAUUCCUUGAUUGGCAGAGUAUUCUCCUGCUGAGGCAGAGACACUAAGAAGAGGAAAAAAGGAAAAUGAGUGAGAGAAAUCACAUGCAUUUUAGGUAAAUCUCUUAUCAACGUGCACGUUAGAGCAAAUGCAGAUCUAUACUUAAUGAAAGGUGUACUGAAAUAGAAAAUGACUUUGAAACACUCAAAGGAGGCACAUGGGACUGGAUCUCUUGGAAGUAUUGAGUGCCCUCUCACCCAUACAGAACAUAGCUUUGCACUUCCCAGAAUUUGAUUGCCAUUGCUAAAAUAAGUGGAAGUAGAGCCUUUCCCCCAGUAUGCUUAUAGUCACUCCAUGGGACAUUAAGUGCAGCAGUGUCACACACUGCAGUACACCAAUCACACAUUUAAUAAUUAAAGUUAUCACAUAUCAGACAAACACACAACUUGCUUUGCCUGCUUACUAGCAAGCAACUGCUUUGUAGCUGUAUGCGUUUAUGAAUCAUGGAGUGCCUUUUAUAGGAUAGUCAUCUCAGUGCUACCCACAUAGAAGCUGAAGAGUGUGGCACAACUAUGAAUUUUUAGUUUCUCAGCCAGUUCUGUGCGUGCUGGACUGCUCUGCGUGGCCUCAAACAUUUGAGCACAUUCCAAAUGGGGGAUAAUGAUGUAAUGCAAGGUAGGGACAGUUAUGUAGAACAUGUGUGUGAAGAUACUGAGCAAUCCCAAUCUAGUAAAGCACACGUGGAUCUUUCAAGUUGGGUUGCCCGGACCCUCGUAGAGCUUCCUGCAUUUUAGCAAGUCCAUUCUUUGGCUCUGAAUUGCUCACCUUUUGCCAUUCUGUAGCAGUUUACUGUUGCCAGGAGAUCAGGUGAAACACUUGUAAAGACUUCCUCCAGUGUCUGCACAUUGUUCUCAGUUAAAAGACCCUGUUUUUCCAAUAAAAUCAGCAACUCCAAAGCAGACUGAUGAAGAAAAUGAUAAAAUAUAUUUAUUGUUCUUCAGAACUUAAAAACAUUUGUUUCAGCCCUGCCUGUCUCAAAUAAUCCCACUAUUGUCUGCUUUGCCUCUUAUUAAUAGAGUCCAAACAGUCAAUUUUACAUCACGGGGAGAGGGAGCUUCCUUCUUUCUAACCCUCUGAACACUGAGCAGCUUAGUCACACACCAUCUUUUCUGCCAAAGACUUCUAACACUUCUCCCAUUCCACUCCUGCUCCGACCUUCUUCCCUCCCGUCCAUAUGCAUGUUUGCUUUUCUCCCCACAUACAGCAGUUCUACGUCGCUUUGGAAGAUGGUUUCUCAGGAGGAAUACAAUUUCCUGCAGCAUCUCAUUGGUAAUGUUCUCUGACAGUUCAUACAGCAUCUGCCUGUAAGAGAGACUCAAUGAGACAAAAGUAGAAGGGAUGGUGGAGAAACUAAAAGCAAUAUGAGAAAUUAAAGGAAAGGGAACCAGAAUGUUAUAGAUGGCAGUAGUGGAAAGAAUAGAAUCUCAUUACAUACUUACCUGUAUGGAGACACUUUUCCCUUCUCAUGUAGGCGUUCUUGCACUUUCUCCUUGGUAUAGCCAAGUGUACUGAGCAAGGAGUGAUAUUUAAUUCUGUAUAACAGUUCAGCUAGCAGGAAAGUGUCUUCCUCAUUCAGAUAAUCUUUGUCUAUAAGAAGCUGAAAAAUGUCCAUUGCUGACUGCACGCUUUCUAGUUUUCUGAAGGUGAUCAAGUCAGUACAGAGAAAUUUCAAUGCUGCUACAUCUUCAGACCCCAGUUUUUCGUCAAUGAGCAGGAGCAGCUGACGAAACUGCCACCCAUCACUGCCUUCCAUGUUGCUGCCGCUGAUGAUCUCUGCCUGAAAGUCAAAAGUCGGUAACAAUCAAAUCUCCAGCAAUCCUCAUAAUUAUAUAUAAGAUUUCAUCCAACUAGGUUUGAAAGUCUUGAAUUCUCUGCAAAAGAGAAGUUUCCUUUUAAAUCAAUCUGGAACAUACGUCCUUCUCCAGACAUAAAACUACAGAGAUCAAAUUUGGCAGGUGCUCUAUACAGCCCUGUCUAACUUUGAUGUCAGCCCUGUGCUGAUCUGAAAUCUGUGCUAGAUGACCGCAAGAGUUCCUUUAUAAUCUAAAUUCUUUUAUUUCUUUCUAUCAUCUUUAACAUUCAGAGCUGCACUUCUUUACACUGUUGGUGGGUGGAAAGAAUGCCUGCUUACUUACUGCAACUCAAAGAGAGGAGAAUGUAGCGAAACCGUGUAUUCCUUGAUCUUCUUCUGAACUUGCAUUUAGUGCAGGAAAGCCUCUGCACAAGCAACUUAAUCCUACUGAAGUUUCCAGCAGAGAGCAAUCAUCCUUUUAUGCACUAACUUCUUUUAUACACCUUAUGCAGUUAUUAUUUGCCUGUGUAAUGUCUUUUAGGGAAGCUUACUUAAGAAAGAGCUUCAGUGCCUUUCUUCUGCCCAAACAGGAAGGUGGGCUCCUAGUCUUUUGUUCAGAGCAGCUGGGAUGAGCCAAGCUUUCUACAUAAGAGAACACAUAGAAAAAACAAGUCCGGGAAGCAGAGCUAGCAAAGAAAAGCUUCCAAAUUCAGAUUUGUUGAAGCACCUGGGUGGACAGCAGGUCACAAAGGAUAUCAUAGCAUCUUGGGAGCACAGAGAUUUUUGCUAUUUUGUGUUCACAGAUAGAUAUGUAAUUCCAAGUCCUGGCACCCAGCUAGGAUACAAGCAUCAUCUACGUUUCAAGUAAGAAAGCUGACAGGUUCCAGGAGUCCUGCACACUCCUCCUCAGUGUUGUGAAACUUUCUUCUCUUAAGAAAUCAAUUACUAUCAAAUAGGUCUGGAUUUCAGCCAGUGAUCUGACACAUACACCAAAACUGAAUCACUUCACAGGAAAUCAGACUUCAAAUCAAUUUAGCCAGGCUACUUCUAAACCUUGUUCUGAUGCUCUAAUAAGUAAAUUUAGCAGAGUAACUUAGGUUAAAUUGAUUCCUUCCUAUGUCAGCAAGCCCGUAUAAACUAGGUUCAAACUGAAUAGUGACUACUCGUAAUUUGGAGCCAAUGAUUUGAAGGAAAUCUGAUAAUAAAUCAUAGCUUUAGGGGAAGAGGAUCAAGUUGUGCACAGCCCAAGCGUGCACAUAAUUAUUUCAUCAACAAGUCAAACUGAAGCAAGACUCAGAACAAAUUCCUUCAUCUACCUUUACAACAGUUUUCAAGUAUGUGCUGCUGCCACUCUGGAACGCUCUUCACUCCAAACACUUUCUGCUUGAGUUGAGAAUAUCCUCACAGACACUAAACCUGUGCUGAAUUUACCAGUUGCCCAUUGAUCACAACGCCUGGCCCGCCCCCCUAGCAAGACUGGAAGAGGAGACACCACCACUCCAUUGCUGGAACCCCCCACUUGGUUUACAGCUAUGGUGUUUUUGGAACCCUCUACCACUUAUGCAUUUUAUAAGCAACACUCGAGGGCCAGGACCUCCUUGUCCCUCAGAUUUGUCACGGUUCACCGCACCAUUUGCAGCCAGGCCAGCGGGGCACUAACGAGCACAAAACCGACACAAACAGAAAGGUGGUGGAUCUACGUGUUGCAAAAUAUCCAGAGGGAAUAUCCAGAAGGAUCCAGAAGGAAAAGCACAUCGAAUAGGCAAUGAAGAUUAUCAAAUUACUGUGGUUUUUUUUCCUCUUACGUUUUAGAGAACGUAACACUGCCUGACUUAAAGACUGUAAAAGAACGCAAAACCACGAGCCGCAGAAGAAUGGCAAAGCUCAGCCCGCGGCCCCGCAAACAAGGGGAGCAACCGGCCGCCGGGGGCAGCUGCGCAACAGCGGGAGGAAGGCGUGUUCUUUCGUUCCCCUCCGCUCCAGUUUCUCCUUUCUUACCUCCGGAAGAAAUUCGCGCCCGUCCCCGCUCCCGGGGCCGCCGUGCGCCCGGUGCGCUGCGCUGCGCUGCCCGCUCCGUGCCCCACGUGCUGAGUCACAGCGCCGCAGCUCUGCGGGAGGGGCGGAAAUGCCCAGGGACGGGGCUGGGAAGCGGGACAAAGCCAACAGGUUGAAGCCGCUGGGGACGCGCGGCGAGCUGCCAGCGUGAGACUCUGCCCCGGAGGGUUCAGCCGGCCGCCGGGCCGCCCUUUCUCCUCCCCGCAGGGUGCGGAGCCGCGUCGCAGUCGGCCUCGGGACUUUUGGAACUCCCCGCCCUGGCCCCAGCCCAGGAAAUGUGCUAAAUAGUCAGGGAAAAAAAAUACGGCGACGAUUCCAAGGCGGAGUAUAAGAAGCGGGAAGUAACUCUUCAACUACUUUCACUUUCGGUAUAAAAACCCUUUUAAAACAGUUUACAUUAAAAAAAAAAAAAAAAA